Molecule: ribosomal RNA, 698 nt
Filed under: uncultured bacterium
Lineage: Bacteria
Description: bacterial SSU rRNA
Rfam family: Bacterial small subunit ribosomal RNA
Source: RNAcentral
AAGCGCUCCCGACGAAUUUUUCGGAAGGAAUCGGGAGCGACUUAAUGGCGGACGGGUGAGUAACGCGUGGGUAACCUGCCCCGUACCGGGGGAUAACGGUUAGAAAUGACUGCUAAUACCGCUUAAGCGCACAAGGUCGCAUGGCCGCGCGCGAAAAACUCCGGUGGUAUGGGAUGGGCCCGCGUCUGAUUAGCUAGUUGGCGGGGUAACGGCCCACCAAGGCGACGAUCAGUAGCCGACCUGAGAGGGUGGCCGGCCACAUUGGGACUGAGACACGGCCCAGACUCCUACGGGAGGCAGCAGUGGGGGAUAUUGCACAAUGGGGGGAACCCUGAUGCAGCGACGCCGCGUGGGUGAAGGAGUGCUUCGGCAUGUAAAGCCCUAUCGGCAGGGAAGAAGCAAGACAAAACAAAACUAAGAAGCCCCGGCUAACUACGUGCCAGCAGCCGCGGUAAUACGUAGGGGGCGAGCGUUAUCCGGAUUCACUGGGUGUAAAGGGAGCGUAGACGGCCAAGCAAGCCAGGGGUGAAAGCCCGGGGCCCAACCCCGGGACUGCCCUUGGAACUGCAUGGCUGGAGUGCGGGAGGGGCAGGCGGAAUUCCUGGUGUAGCGGUGAAAUGCGUAGAUAUCAGGAGGAACACCGGCGGCGAAGGCGGCCUGCUGGACCGCGACUGACGUUGAGGCUCGAAAGCGUGGGG